Molecule: microRNA, 17 nt
Filed under: Macrophomina phaseolina MS6
Lineage: Eukaryota; Fungi; Ascomycota; Dothideomycetes; Botryosphaeriales; Botryosphaeriaceae
Description: miR-1281
Source: RNAcentral
UCGGCUCCUCCACUCCC